Molecule: RNase P RNA, 397 nt
Filed under: Chloroflexota bacterium
Lineage: Bacteria; Bacillati; Chloroflexota
Description: Chloroflexi bacterium (anaerobic digester metagenome) RNase P RNA component class A
Rfam family: Bacterial RNase P class A
About the family: Ribonuclease P (RNase P) is a ubiquitous endoribonuclease, found in archaea, bacteria and eukarya as well as chloroplasts and mitochondria. Its best characterised activity is the generation of mature 5'-ends of tRNAs by cleaving the 5'-leader elements of precursor-tRNAs.
Source: RNAcentral
AGAGUGGGCCGGGCGGUCGCAUGUCGGGCACAGGCCCGGCAUGAGGAAAGUCCGAACUCCAUAGAGCACGAUGCUGGGUAACUCCCAGGCGAGGCGACUCGACGGCAUAGUGCAACAGAGAGCAGGUCGCCCCGGCGGUCUCGUACCGUCGGGGUAAGAGUGAAAGGGUAGUGUAAGAGACUACCAGCGGCCCAGGUGACUGGGUCGGCUAGGCAAACCCCAUCGGGAGCAAGACCAAGCAGAGGCUGUCUACAGGGGCAACCCUGUGGGCAUGGGCUGCUCGCUCAUUGCCUCAGGUAGGUCGCAAGAGGCGUCGGGUAACCGGCGUCGUAGAUAGAUGAUCGCCACCCCGCCGAAAGGUGGGGGACAGAAUUCGGCUUAUAGGCCCACUCAACCA